CAGUAGCCGCGGUAAUACGUAGGGUGCAAGCGUUGUCCGGAAUUAUUGGGCGUAAAGGGCUCGCAGGCGGUUUCUUAAGUCUGAUGUGAAAGCCCCCGGCUCAACCGGGGAGGGUCAUUGGAAACUGGGAAACUUGAGUGCAGAAGAGGAGAGUGGAAUUCCACGUGUAGCGGUGAAAUGCGUAGAGAUAUGGAGGAACACCAGUGGCGAAGGCGACUCUCUGGUCUGUAACUGACGCUGAGGAGCGAAAGCGUGGGGAGCGAACAGGAUUAGAUACCCCGGUAGUCCCUGUCUCUUAUAC
Molecule: ribosomal RNA, 301 nt
Filed under: uncultured bacterium
Lineage: Bacteria
Description: partial 16S ribosomal RNA
Rfam family: Bacterial small subunit ribosomal RNA
Source: RNAcentral